AUUGAACGCUGGCGGCAGGCCUAACACAUGCAAGUCGAGCGGACGAAGGGAGCUUGCUCCUGGAUUCAGCGGCGGACGGGUGAGUAAUGCCUAGGAAUCUGCCUGGUAGUGGGGGAUAACGUCCGGAAACGGGCGCUAAUACCGCAUACGUCCUGAGGGAGAAAGUGGGGGAUCUUCGGACCUCACGCUAUCAGAUGAGCCUAGGUCGGAUUAGCUAGUUGGUGGGGUAAAGGCCUACCAAGGCGACGAUCCGUAACUGGUCUGAGAGGAUGAUCAGUCACACUGGAACUGAGACACGGUCCAGACUCCUACGGGAGGCAGCAGUGGGGAAUAUUGGACAAUGGGCGAAGGCCUGAUCCAGCCAUGCCGCGUGUGUGAAGAAGGUCUUCGGAUUGUAAAGCACUUUAAGUUGGGAGGAAGGGCAGUAAGUUAAUACCUUGCUGUUUUGACGUUACCAACAGAAUAAGCACCGGCUAACUUCGUG
RNAcentral lists this ribosomal RNA (484 nucleotides) under uncultured bacterium. RNAcentral describes it as "partial 16S ribosomal RNA". It matches the Rfam family "Bacterial small subunit ribosomal RNA", at positions 30 to 507 of the family's 1533-position model. The record is from RNAcentral.